GGGGCUGAUUCUGGAUUCGACGGGAUUUGCGAAACCCAAGGUGCAUGCCGAGGGGCGGUUGGCCUCGUAAAAAGGGGCGGUUGGCCUCGUAAAAAGCCGCAAAAAAUAGUCGCAAACGACGAAAACUACGCUUUAGCAGCUUAAUAACCUGCUCUGAGCCCUCUCUCCUUAGCUUCCGCUCUUAAGACGGGGAUCAAAGAGAGGUCAAACCCAAAAGAGAUCGCGUGGAUGCCCUGCCUGGGGUUGAAGCGUUAAAUCUAAUCAGGCUAGUUUGUUAGUGGCGUGUCUGUCCGCAGCUGGCAAGCGAAUGUAAAGACUGACUAAGCAUGUAGUGCCGAGGAUGUAGGAAUUUCGGACGCGGGUUCAACUCCCGCCAGCUCCACCA
RNAcentral lists this transfer-messenger RNA (385 nucleotides) under Klebsiella sp. It matches the Rfam family "transfer-messenger RNA". Rfam says of the family: Bacterial tmRNA, also known as 10Sa RNA or SsrA, is named for its dual tRNA and mRNA-like properties. Its role is to liberate the mRNA from a stalled ribosome. Lineage: Bacteria; Pseudomonadati; Pseudomonadota; Gammaproteobacteria; Enterobacterales; Enterobacteriaceae. The record is from RNAcentral.